GAUGAACGCUGGCGGCGUGCCUAAUACAUGCAAGUCGAGCGAACAGACGAGGAGCUUGCUCCUCUGACGUUAGCGGCGGACGGGUGAGUAACACGUGGAUAACCUACCUAUAAGACUGGGAUAACUUCGGGAAACCGUAUCUAAUACCGGAUAAUAUAUUGAACCUCAUGGUUCAAUAGUGAAAGACGUUUUUUCUGUCACUUAUAGAUGGUUCCUCGCCGCAUUAGCUAGUUGGUAAGGUAACGGCUUACCAAGGCAACGAUGCGUAUCCGACCUGAGAGGGUGAUCGGCAACACUGGAACUGAGACACGGUACAGACUCCUACGGGAGGCAGCAGUAGGGAAUCUUCCGCAAUGGGCGAAAGCAUGACGGAGCAACGCCGCGUGAGUGAUGAAGGUCUUCGGAUCGUAAAACUCUGUUAUUAGGGAAGAACAAAUGUGUAAGUAACUAUGCACGUAUUGACGGUACCUAAUCAGAAAGCCACGGCUAACUACGUG
Molecule: ribosomal RNA, 497 nt
Filed under: uncultured bacterium
Lineage: Bacteria
Description: partial 16S ribosomal RNA
Rfam family: Bacterial small subunit ribosomal RNA
Source: RNAcentral